CUGAAUAACUCAGCUGAUCGCACAGUCUUAGUACUGGCGACGUAUCUUUCAAGUGUCUGCCUUAUCAACUUUCGAUGGUAGUUUACACGCCUACCAUGGUUGUAACGGGUAACGGAGAAUAAGGGUUCGACUCCGGAGAGGGAGCCUGAGAAACGGCUACCACAUCCAAGGAAGGCAGCAGGCGCGCAAAUUACCCACUCUCAGAACGAGGAGGUAGUGACGAAAAAUAACGAGACGGUUCUCUAUGAGGUCCGUCAUCGGAAUGGGUACAAUUUAAACCCUUUAACGAGGAUCUAUUGGAGGGCAAGUCUGGUGCCAGCAGCCGCGGUAAUUCCAGCUCCAAUAGCGUAUAUUAAAGUUGUUGCGGGUUAAAAAG
RNAcentral lists this ribosomal RNA (376 nucleotides) under Nematoda sp. Its description in RNAcentral is "SSU rRNA". It matches the Rfam family "Eukaryotic small subunit ribosomal RNA", at positions 252 to 626 of the family's 1831-position model. Lineage: Eukaryota; Metazoa; Nematoda. The record is from RNAcentral.